This 99-nucleotide ribosomal RNA is filed under the name Flavobacterium sp. RNAcentral also lists the same sequence under 1 other name. The record is from RNAcentral. Lineage: Bacteria; Pseudomonadati; Bacteroidota; Flavobacteriia; Flavobacteriales; Flavobacteriaceae.
UUGCGGCGGGGCUCACCUCUUCCCAUCCCGAACAGAGUAGUUAAGCCCGCCUGCGCAGAUGGUACUGCAGUUAUGUGGGAGAGUAUGUCGUCGCCUUUC